AUUGAACGCUGGCGGCAUGCCUAACACAUGCAAGUCGAACGGCAGCGCGGGGAGCUUGCUCCCUGGCGGCGAGUGGCGGACGGGUGAGUAAUACUUAGGAAUCUGCCCAGUAGUGGGGGACAACCCGGGGAAACCCGGGCUAAUACCGCGUAAUCUCUUCGGAGGGAAGAGGGCCUCUUCUUGAAAGCUCUCGCUAUUGGAUGAGCCUAAGUCGGAUUAGCUUGUUGGUGGGGUAAAAGCCACCAAGGCGACGAUCCGUAGCUGGUCUGAGAGGACGAUCAGCCACACUGGGACUGAGACACGGCCCAGACUCCUACGGGAGGCAGCAGUGGGGAAUAUUGGACAAUGGGGGCAACCCUGAUCCAGCAAUGCCGCGUGUGUGAAGAAGGCCUGCGGGUUGUAAAGCACUUUNAGUAGAGAAGAAAAGCC
This 429-nucleotide ribosomal RNA is filed under the name uncultured bacterium. RNAcentral's name for it is "bacterial SSU rRNA". It matches the Rfam family "Bacterial small subunit ribosomal RNA", at positions 30 to 454 of the family's 1533-position model. The record is from RNAcentral.